UGGGGAAUAUUGGACAAUGGGCGAAAGCCUGAUCCAGCCAUGCCGCGUGUGUGAAGAAGGCCUUAUGGUUGUAAAGCACUUUAAGCGAGGAGGAGGGUACUGGUAUUAAUACUACCAGCUACUGGACGUUACUCGCAGAAUAAGCACCGGCUAACUCUGUGCCAGCAGCCGCGGUAAUACAGAGGGUGCGAGCGUUAAUCGGAUUUACUGGGCGUAAAGCGUGCGUAGGCGGCUAAUUGAGUCGGAUGUGAAAUCCCCGAGCUUAACUUGGGAAUUGCAUUCGAUACUGGUUAGCUAGAGUAGGGCAGAGGGUGGUGGAAUUUCCUGUGUAGCGGUGAAAUGCGUAGAUAUAGGAAGGAACACCAGUGGCGAAGGCGACCACCUGGGCUCAUACUGACACUGAGGUGCGAAAGCGUGGGGAGCAAACAGG
RNAcentral lists this ribosomal RNA (430 nucleotides) under Pseudomonadota bacterium. RNAcentral describes it as "Proteobacteria bacterium partial 16S ribosomal RNA". It matches the Rfam family "Bacterial small subunit ribosomal RNA", at positions 355 to 776 of the family's 1533-position model. The record is from RNAcentral. Lineage: Bacteria; Pseudomonadati; Pseudomonadota.